Molecule: ribosomal RNA, 402 nt
Filed under: uncultured bacterium
Lineage: Bacteria
Description: bacterial SSU rRNA
Rfam family: Bacterial small subunit ribosomal RNA
Source: RNAcentral
UGGGGAAUAUUGGACAAUGGGGGAAACCCUGAUCCAGCAAUGCCGCGUGAGUGAAGAAGGCCUUAGGGUUGUAAAGCUCUUUCGCCCGCGAAGAUAAUGACGGUAGCGGGAGAAGAAGCCCCGGCUAACUCCGUGCCAGCAGCCGCGGUAAUACGUAGGCAGCAAGCGUUGUUCGGAGUUACUGGGCGUAAAGAGUGCGUAGGCGGUUUUCUAAGUUCGGUGUGAAAUCUCCCGGCUUAACUGGGAGGGUGCGCCGAAGACUGGGAAGCUGGAGUGUGGGAAAGGCAGGCGGAAUUCCUGGUGUAGCGGUGAAAUGCGUAGAUAUCAGGAGGAACACCGGCGGUGUAGACGGCUUGCUAGACCAUAACUGACGCUGAGGCACGAAAGCGUGGGUAGCAAACA